Molecule: ribosomal RNA, 476 nt
Filed under: uncultured bacterium
Lineage: Bacteria
Description: bacterial SSU rRNA
Rfam family: Bacterial small subunit ribosomal RNA
Source: RNAcentral
AUUGAACGCUGGCGGAAUGCUUUACACAUGCACGUCGAACGGUAGAGGGGGCAACCCCUUGAGAGUGGCGGAACGGGUGAGUAAUAUAUCGGAACGUGCCCAGUCGUGGGGGAUAACGUAGUGAAAAUUACGCUAAUACCGCAUACGAUCUAAGGAUGAAAGCGGGGGAUCGCAAGACCUCGCGCGAUUGGAGCGGCCGAUAUCAGAUUAGGUAGUUGGUAGGGUAAAGGCCUACCAAGCCAACGAUCUGUAGCUGGUCUGAGAGGACGACCAGCCACACUGGAACUGAGACACGGUCCAGACUCCUACGGGAGGCAGCAGUGGGGAAUUUUGGACAAUGGGCGAAAGCCUGAUCCAGCCAUUCCGCGUGCAGGAAGACGGUCCUAUGGAUUGUAAACUGCUUUUAUACAGGAAGAAACCCUCCCACGUGUGGGAGCUUGACGGUACUGUAGGAAUAAGGAUCGGCUAACUCCGUG